This 492-nucleotide ribosomal RNA is filed under the name uncultured bacterium. Its description in RNAcentral is "partial 16S ribosomal RNA". It matches the Rfam family "Bacterial small subunit ribosomal RNA", at positions 28 to 507 of the family's 1533-position model. The record is from RNAcentral.
GAUGAACGCUCGCUACAGGCUUAACACAUGCAAGUCGAGGGGAAACGGCAUUGAGUGCUUGCACUCUUUGGACGUCGACCGGCGCACGGGUGAGUAACGCGUAUCCAACCUUCCCAUUACUGUGGGAUAACCUGCCGAAAGGCAGACUAAUACCGCAUAGUCUUCGAUGACGGCAUCAGAUUUGAAGUAAAGAUUUAUCGGUAAUGGAUGGGGAUGCGUCUGAUUAGCUUGUUGGCGGGGUAACGGCCCACCAAGGCGACGAUCAGUAGGGGUUCUGAGAGGAAGGUCCCCCACAUUGGAACUGAGACACGGUCCAAACUCCUACGGGAGGCAGCAGUGAGGAAUAUUGGUCAAUGGACGGAAGUCUGAACCAGCCAAGUAGCGUGCAGGAUGACGGCCCUAUGGGUUGUAAACUGCUUUUGUAUGGGGAUAAAGUUAGGGACGUGUCCCUAUUUGCAGGUACCAUACGAAUAAGGACCGGCUAAGUCCGUG